GAAAUGCGAUAAGUAAUGUGAAUUGCAGAAUUCAGUGAAUCAUCGAAUCUUUGAACGCACCUUGCGCUCCUUGGUAUUCCUUGGAGCAUGCCUGUUUGAGUAUCAUGAAAUCUUCAAAGUAAAUCUUUUGUUAACUCAAUUGGUUUCUACUUUGGUAUUGGAGGUCUUUGCAGCUUCACACCUGCUCCUCUUUGUUCAUUAGCUGGAUCUCAGUGUUAUGCUUGGUUCCACUCGGCGUGAUAAGUUAUCUAUCGCUGAGGACACUGUAAAAGGUGGCCAAGGUAAAUGCAGAUGAACCGCUUCUAAUAGUCCAUUGACUUGGACAAUACUUUUAUGAUCUGAUCUCAAAUCAGGUAGGACUACCCGCUGAACGUAAGCA
RNAcentral lists this unclassified non-coding RNA (379 nucleotides) under plant metagenome. RNAcentral describes it as "partial contains 5.8S ribosomal RNA, internal transcribed spacer 2, and large subunit ribosomal RNA". The stretch from base 1 to 105 matches the Rfam family "5.8S ribosomal RNA", at positions 50 to 154 of the family's 154-position model. The record is from RNAcentral.